Long non-coding RNA from Oncorhynchus tshawytscha (Chinook salmon), 1769 nucleotides. RefSeq lists it as uncharacterized. The transcript is spliced from 7 exons. The record is from RefSeq and is a predicted model, not a curated record. NCBI's taxonomy places the organism in Eukaryota, Metazoa, Chordata, Actinopteri, Salmoniformes, Salmonidae.
CAGGUAAGCUCUUGUUCUGCUUGUCUACAGCCGGUCUAAUUGUAUGUAGAUAGAGAAUGAAGUGUUUGUCAUAAUGUAUAAUCAUAGAAAAUCCUGUUAAAGGCACCAUGCUGCUGUAUAACAUACCCCUCCCCAGGGCAGCCCAGAGGCUGGAGCUGAGGGGUAUACAGUCAUACAGUGACCUGGAGGGGUGCUCCAGGGCCUCCACACCCUGCCCACUGCCACCGUGGACUACAGGGGGAUCCGCCUAUCUGCCCUGGGUCUGGCCCCUGGCCCCUGGCCUGGAGGGCCCCUCUGCUCCUACCAGGCAUGAUGGAUCAGGCGUAUGAGCGUCUGAAGGAGGCAGCAUACCUGUUUGGCCGUGUGUGUGAUGACCUGAACCCAGAGGCCUGCUCCUUCCUGUCUCAGCCUGAUGGCCAGAGUGAGGCCCGCAGUGUCCAGCUCAAGCCUGUGGUCAUCAGUGAGAGGGUCCUGGGCUUUGACCACCCCAACACUACCAACAAUACGCUCUGUUGGCAGAGUAUGUGUUUGCUGGAGGAGAGUCCACUCUAGCUCAGAGGUGUCUGUUCAGAGCACGUCUCCUGACGCUCACAGUUCAUGGAGAAGACCACCCCUACACUGCUACACUAGAUUAUGGUGAGGACCACCCCCAGAGACACUACAGCUACGAAUUUCUGCACUCCAUUACCCAGCAGGCAGUGCAUGUGGAGCACUCUAUAAGGAAAGGCGGGGACCCGCUCACAGCUGAGGGUCAGUCUCUUUCUCCCUCAGCUGAGACCACUCUGGAGCAGCUGGCCCUGGUCACAGGCAUUAGGACACCAAGCCACAGUGACAGGCUCCUGGAUUUCAAACAGAAGCUGAUGGAAAAGAGAGAGGCAGUUAACGCCAAACCAGACAACACAUGCACAGAAACAGUGAAUGAAGAAGAAGCAGAGGGGACAUCUAAAGGAGAGGAGGCUGUGGCAGUCCAGGAGAUCACCAGCGAGGUGCUCUCAGUAGAGGCAGGUCACAAUGAGAACCCAGCCAACAGACAGUGGACUGCCAUCAACUGGAGCCCAUUGAGGAGAACGUAGAGGUGGGCUCAGUAGUAGAGAGUGGAGCUUUUGGAUAAUCCAGUGAGGGAGAUGAAGACCGAGCUGCCCCAGAGGCUGAGCAGCACACAGGGGACAGGGGACAGAGGAUGGAGAGGCAGAAUUGAUGGUUACUGAGGAAACUGAGCCAGUAUAGAGGAGAGUCUGACACAAAAUGGAGGUUUGGAAUCUGACGGAAACAAAUCAGACAGUGAGAUGGAGAUAGUCAAUGAUAAGCCAGGGUCAGAUGUGAACAGAUCACCAGUGAUGACCAAUCAGAACAACAAGAGGACGUCAUGAACGGGAAUGCCUCUAUCCAUCGACCAAGCAAAACUAACCCUGACCACAGCAGAGGGUGAGAUGCUAGCUAACGGAACAUCUGUCAGAGAGGGAGGAUUUUUUUUUUUUAAGGGAUUAACAGAACAAAUAACCAAAGAGAAGCCAUAGGACAGACAAGGCAGUAGCAUAUUAAAGGGGCUGUUGAUUCAGCUGGAUCAGAAUCCUGAGAGCAGAUGGCUGUGGAGGAUGAAAGGGGAAAACGAGGAGAAAGAAUAUAGAAGUGUGCCAUUCUCUUUUAUCUGGGUUGUUUACUGGUAUUGGGAGAGAACUUAUUUGGUCUUUAUCACCAACGUUUUGGCAUCACUGUGCCAUCAGGGUUUAUGAAACAUGUAACUUCAUUGACUCUUAAAUAAACCAUUU